GAUGAACGCUGGCGGCGUGCCUAAUACAUGCAAGUCGAGCGAACAGACGAGGAGCUUGCUCCUCUGACGUUAGCGGCGGACGGGUGAGUAACACGUGGAUAACCUACCUAUAAGACUGGGAUAACUUCGGGAAACCGGAGCUAAUACCGGAUAAUAUAUUGAACCGCAUGGUUCAAUAGUGAAAGACGGUUUUGCUGUCACUUAUAGAUGGAUCCGCGCCGCAUUAGCUAGUUGGUAAGGUAACGGCUUACCAAGGCAACGAUGCGUAGCCGACCUGAGAGGGUGUUGGGCCACACUGAAACUGAGACACGGUCCAGACUCCUACGGGAGGCAGCAGUAGGGAAUCUUCGGCAAUGGGCGAAAGCCUGACGAAGCAACGCCGCGUGAGUGAUGAAGGUCUUCGGAUCGUAAAACUCUGUUAUUAGGGAAGAACAAGUGUGUAAGUAACUAUGCACGUCUUGACGGUACCUAAUCAGAAAGCCACGGCUAACUACGU
Molecule: ribosomal RNA, 496 nt
Filed under: uncultured bacterium
Lineage: Bacteria
Description: partial 16S ribosomal RNA
Rfam family: Bacterial small subunit ribosomal RNA
Source: RNAcentral